GAUCAUGGCUCAGGAUGAACGCUAGCGGCAGGCCUAACACAUGCAAGUCGAGGGGCGAUCGGGAUUGAAGCCUGCUUCAAUUGCCGGCGACCGGCGCACGGGUGCGUAACGCGUAUGUAACCUACCUAUAACAGGGGCAUAACACUGAGAAAUUGGUACUAAUUCCCCAUAAUAUUCGGAGAGGCAUCUCUCCGGGUUGAAAACUCCGGUGGUUAUAGAUGGACAUGCGUUGUAUUAGCUAGUUGG
This 246-nucleotide ribosomal RNA is filed under the name uncultured bacterium. RNAcentral's name for it is "partial 16S ribosomal RNA". It matches the Rfam family "Bacterial small subunit ribosomal RNA", at positions 15 to 252 of the family's 1533-position model. The record is from RNAcentral.